RNAcentral lists this transfer RNA (73 nucleotides) under Bombyx mori (domestic silkworm). It matches the Rfam family "tRNA". Rfam says of the family: Transfer RNA (tRNA) molecules are approximately 80 nucleotides in length. Their secondary structure includes four short double-helical elements and three loops (D, anti-codon, and T loops). The record is from Rfam by way of RNAcentral. Lineage: Eukaryota; Metazoa; Arthropoda; Insecta; Lepidoptera; Bombycidae.
GACUCGUUGGUGCAGUAGUUAGCGCUCCUGAAUGUUGCGCAGAGGUCCGUGGGUUCGAUUCCCACAUCGGGCA